This 1250-nucleotide ribosomal RNA is filed under the name uncultured bacterium. RNAcentral's name for it is "bacterial SSU rRNA". It matches the Rfam family "Bacterial small subunit ribosomal RNA", at positions 28 to 1279 of the family's 1533-position model. The record is from RNAcentral.
AUUGAACGCUGGCGGCAUGCCUUACACAUGCAAGUCGAACGGCAGCACGGAGCUUGCUCUGGUGGCGAGUGGCGAACGGGUGAGUAAUAUAUCGGAACGUACCCUAGAGUGGGGGAUAACGUAGCGAAAGUUACGCUAAUACCGCAUACGAUCUAAGGAUGAAAGUGGGGGAUCGCAAGACCUCAUGCUCGUGGAGCGGCCGAUAUCUGAUUAGCUAGUUGGUAGGGUAAAAGCCUACCAAGGCAUCGAUCAGUAGCUGGUCUGAGAGGACGACCAGCCACACUGGAACUGAGACACGGUCCAGACUCCUACGGGAGGCAGCAGUGGGGAAUUUUGGACAAUGGGCGAAAGCCUGAUCCAGCAAUGCCGCGUGAGUGAAGAAGGCCUUCGGGUUGUAAAGCUCUUUUGUCAGGGAAGAAACGGUGAGAGCUAAUAUCUCUUGCUAAUGACGGUACCUGAAGAAUAAGCACCGGCUAACUACGUGCCAGCAGCCGCGGUAAUACGUAGGGUGCAAGCGUUAAUCGGAAUUACUGGGCGUAAAGCGUGCGCAGGCGGUUUUGUAAGUCUGAUGUGAAAUCCCCGGGCUCAACCUGGGAAUUGCAUUGGAGACUGCAAGGCUAGAAUCUGGCAGAGGGGGGUAGAAUUCCACGUGUAGCAGUGAAAUGCGUAGAUAUGUGGAGGAACACCGAUGGCGAAGGCAGCCCCCUGGGUCAAGAUUGACGCUCAUGCACGAAAGCGUGGGGAGCAAACAGGAUUAGAUACCCUGGUAGUCCACGCCCUAAACGAUGUCUACUAGUUGUCGGGUCUUAAUUGACUUGGUAACGCAGCUAACGCGUGAAGUAGACCGCCUGGGGAGUACGGUCGCAAGAUUAAAACUCAAAGGAAUUGACGGGGACCCGCACAAGCGGUGGAUGAUGUGGAUUAAUUCGAUGCAACGCGAAAAACCUUACCUACCCUUGACAUGGCUGGAAUCCUCGAGAGAUUGAGGAGUGCUCGAAAGAGAACCAGUACACAGGUGCUGCAUGGCUGUCGUCAGCUCGUGUCGUGAGAUGUUGGGUUAAGUCCCGCAACGAGCGCAACCCUUGUCAUUAGUUGCUACGAAAGGGCACUCUAAUGAGACUGCCGGUGACAAACCGGAGGAAGGUGGGGAUGACGUCAAGUCCUCAUGGCCCUUAUGGGUAGGGCUUCACACGUCAUACAAUGGUACAUACAGAGCGCCGCCAACCCGCGAGGGGGAGCUAAUCGCAGAA